UCCUAAGUAGCUCAGUGGUAGAGCAAUCGUCUGUUAACCGAUUGGUCGUAGGUUCAAGUCCUAACUGGGGAG
RNAcentral lists this transfer RNA (72 nucleotides) under Seminavis robusta. It matches the Rfam family "tRNA". Rfam says of the family: Transfer RNA (tRNA) molecules are approximately 80 nucleotides in length. Their secondary structure includes four short double-helical elements and three loops (D, anti-codon, and T loops). Lineage: Eukaryota; Bacillariophyta; Bacillariophyceae; Naviculales; Naviculaceae. The record is from Rfam by way of RNAcentral.